Molecule: long non-coding RNA, 1772 nt
Organism: Quercus robur (English oak)
Lineage: Eukaryota; Viridiplantae; Streptophyta; Magnoliopsida; Fagales; Fagaceae
Exons: 2
Source: RefSeq, a predicted model, not a curated record
GUCAAUUUCUUGUAAAUUAAGGCAUUUUAAUUGAAGCUUCAAGCUUUUGUUCUGUCUUUGUCUCACAAGGAAGCUUGUUUCUUUUUUUUUCUUUUGGGUAAAAUUCUUGUUUUUUAUUAUAGUUAGAUGGAAGUGAGAGAAUAAAACAUAUAAGCCUUAAUUAUCGAAAGGAGUGUCCAGCCUGUAACUUUUAUUACUAAUUAGGUACUUGCAAAAUUACAUGCAUUUUCACUCCUUAUUGGACGUGGGAAUGGGAUUAAGCCUAUUCUCUUUACCUUGGUUGUAACAUUUGUAAGCGUAUAUAAGUUUUUUUUCCCCUGCUCCAGACCUUGUUCCUGUAACACAAUUCAUUUCAUAUUGUGUUAGUAUAUGGAGGUGUUUUUUUAAAAAAAUUUAAUUUAAUUUAUUUUUUAUUGGGUGGUGGAAGAGGGAGUGGUAAAUAUUUGUUUGUUAAUCACAUCAUUUCAGUAGUAGUAAUGGGGAGUGAAUGGUUAAUGGACGUACUGUGAAUUGAACCACUUCAAUUGACCUUUUACUCUUGAUGACGAUGACUUCAACCUGUAAUGUUGUUGUCUCCUUGUGAGUAACACCAAUAUAGUUAUCUGGAUGGUUUCUAUUUGUCUUUUAUCACUGUUAUGUUAUGUUUUCUCGUUCUGGUCUUUGAUAAUUUUGGUUGGAGGGAAAUAAAUUGUUCAGAUGACAUUAACAAAAACGUUAGUGGUGCAGAUUUCAGAAUGUAUGUUUUACACAAUUGACAAGAUUUUCAUUUCUCAAAUAUCCCUGGUUGGUUCAUAUGCUCUAGUGGGUUCCACACAAGUUGUCUUUUUUCCUACUCUUUCUGUUUAUAUGCAACUUUUGCCCAUUUGGGAUUUAUGGGAAAUUGAAUUUACCUGAAGAUAUUGGGGAAAAAAAAAUACAGAUAGAUUUUUCUGGCCAUGGAUGAAAAUUCUGUUGAAAAUCCUUUUCUUUUCAGGAGAGCUGCUGAUAGUGUGAAGAAAACACCUCUCUUUUUUGUUAUGGGCCAAGUCUUAAGUUUGUAAUACGGCUUAUUUUCCUCUUCCCAGCACAGUUUGUCAAUGAAGUUUUGAGAAAUGGACUCAAUUGAGCAGUGGAACUUUUUUUGGGAUUACAGGUUGGUACUUUGAAUAACUUGUUCUUCUCCAUUUUCCCACCCUCUACCCCCUUUCCCCCCUCCCCAACAUGAUUCUUAUCUGCUUGGUGGCCACUGGUGUUUCAAACAGCAGGAAGUAUAUUCAUGGUUUACAGUGGCCCAGAUUUUGUUAUUGCAUACCUUUCCAUAGCCUAUCUCAUCAUCUCUAGGGAAGAGGAGCUCCAUGAGUAUGUAUUUCAUUUUUUUCUGUGCUAACCAGUGAAUUGAAUCUUUGUCUUCCAUUUGUAUUUUGAGCUUAACCUUUUAACUAAAUGGAUAGCUUGUUUUGUAAUUUAGAACCUUUCUUUGUAGGAGGAAGGCCUCAACAAAACCAAGAUUUUGCUUGUGGACUUUCCCUGUUCUUGUAUAGUUAAACUUGUGCAAUCAUGGUCGGUGAUUAGCUGUGAAUAAGUAAUGGACUUUAACUCAGUAAAGGAAAAGAUACAACAAAACUUUUUGAUGGUGUUUAAAAUUCUUAGUAUGAAAUUAGUUUAUUAUGUCACAAUGGUUACUUAUGUUGAACACCUUUUGUGGCUACACUAUUCUUAUGUUAAUAUUUCUAGAUGGUUUGCUGUUUGGUUUCAGUGUAUUUACAUAAAUUAUUCAACCCUUAACUUUGUCA